GGAUCACGUGAGAAACGUGCCCCAGACUCUGGGAUAACAAUUGGAAACGAUUGCUAAUACCGGAUGACGUCGGAGAACCGCAUGGUUCACUGACGAAAGAUAUUUCGGUUUGGGAGCGUCUCGCGGCCUAUCAGCUUGUUGGUGGGGUAAUGGCCUACCAAGGCAACGACGGGUAGCUGGUCUGAGAGGAUGAUCAGCCACACUGGGACUGAGACACGGCCCAGACUCCUACGGGAGGCAGCAGUGGGGAAUCUUGCGCAAUGGGCGAAAGCCUGACGCAGCAACGCCGCGUGCGGGAUGAAGGCCUUCGGGCUGUAAACCGCUUUCAGCAGGAACGAAAAUGACGGUACCUGCAGAAGAAGGAGCGGCCAACUACGUGCCAGCAGCCGCGGUGACACGUAGGCUCCAAGCGUUGUCCGGAUUUAUUGGGCGUAAAGAGCUCGUAGGCGGUUGAGUAAGUCGGGUGUGAAAACUCUGGGCUUAACCCGGAGACGCCAUCCGAUACUGCUCUGACUAGAGUUCAGGAGGGGAGUGGGGAAUUCCUAGUGUAGCGGUGAAAUGCGCAGAUAUUAGGAGGAACACCGGUGGCGAAGGCGCCACUCUGGACUGAAACUGACGCUGAGGAGCGAAAGCAUGGGUAGCAAACAGGAUUAGAUACCCUGGUAGUCCAUGCCGUAAA
This 679-nucleotide ribosomal RNA is filed under the name uncultured bacterium. RNAcentral's name for it is "bacterial SSU rRNA". It matches the Rfam family "Bacterial small subunit ribosomal RNA", at positions 110 to 806 of the family's 1533-position model. The record is from RNAcentral.